RNAcentral lists this ribosomal RNA (403 nucleotides) under uncultured bacterium. Its description in RNAcentral is "partial 16S ribosomal RNA". It matches the Rfam family "Bacterial small subunit ribosomal RNA", at positions 28 to 526 of the family's 1533-position model. The record is from RNAcentral.
GACGAACGCUGGCGGCGUGCCUAAUACAUGCAAGUCGAACGCAGUUGGGACGGGUGAGUAACACGGGGGUAACCUCCCAUCAGAGGGGAUAACACUUUGAAACAGGUGCUAAACCGAUACUGAUGGAUGGACCCGCGGUGCAUUAGCUAGGUGGUGAGGUAAAGGCUCACCAAGGCCACGAUGCCUAGCCGGCCUGAGAGGGUGAUCGGUCAAACUGGGACUGAGACACGGCCCAGACUCCUACGGGAGGCAGCAGUAGGGAAUCGUCGGCAAUGGACGAAAGUCUGAUCGAGCAACGCCGCGUGAGUGAAGAAGGUUUUCGGAUCGUAAAACUCUGUUGUUAGAGAGGCGGUAUCUAACCAGAAAGCCACGGCUAACUACGUGCCAGCAGCCGCGGUAAUAC